Mauremys reevesii (Reeves's turtle) is the source of this 1414-nucleotide long non-coding RNA. RefSeq lists it as uncharacterized. The transcript has 3 exons. The record is from RefSeq and is a predicted model, not a curated record. NCBI's taxonomy places the organism in Eukaryota, Metazoa, Chordata, Testudines, Geoemydidae.
GCAACCGGCUCAGAGCCAGCUUCAGCUUAGCCAUGCCAGCGUAAAUCCACAGUUAACUCCGUUGGUUUCAAUGGGAUUUACUCCAACGUAACUGGCAGCAAAACUUGGCCCAGUUGGUGCAUAUGCCAGCACUAAAGCUCUCGCUGUCUCUCCUUGACUUUCAGUUUCUCUAAUGGAUUCUCUCUCCUUCUCUGCAACUAAUGACCCUGGGGACCUCGAUUUUACACCACUGCACAAGAGCAAUUCCCACUGAAAGCUCUGGGGAAGAGAUGGCAUUGGCGGGGAUUCAAAUGGCACACCUGGUACCAUCUGCUGCAAUUUCAUGUUGCCUUUAGUUCUGUGACUCCUCUUUAGUUGGAAGAGGAUUAGGUGUCAGGGACAGGAGGCCCAGUAACACUACAGACUCUGGCACUGUUUCGAGGCGAUGCCUAAGUGCACUGUAGAUGUGCCAACAUGCUAACCUUGGCUGUUAUCUGUAGAGGCAAGGUUUCAACAGCUCCGCUCUGCGGUUGACUCUGAAGUUGGAAAAGUUCAUCAGCUGUUGACUUUGGGAGAAGUCUUGCCACCUGCUGGAAGGACACUGACCCCCUCUGGGAGGUCAACUUCUGUGCUGACUUAUCCCUGUGCGAUCCUGAUGGAGUCUAAUUCAGCACAGCUCUCCUUCACUCCCUUGUGCUGCUGCCGUCUCCCUGGCUCUUAAUGAGGCAUUACUUUACCGGACAGUUCUUCAGUGCAUUGGAUAGAACUGUAGUGUCAGGAGCAGCACAGCGAAUAGCAGGAUCCUCUGUUGGGUGGCAAAUGUUCCCAACUCCCAAGUCUGUGGCAAUAGCUGGAGCCCUCAGCUUUCACACUGUCAUAGUUGAGUCACUCGUGAGUGAAUGAACUUUGCUCCAGACUCAGGAUCAAAGGUUUUUCCUUUGUCCUCUCCGCAGAUGCAUUGAGAUAGAGCAGAUGUCCAUGGGCCAAAUUCUGGAUGGGAAAACGUUCCCAGUCAGCUCUCCUUCAGUCCCCUGUGCUGCUGCCAUCUGACUGGCACGGGGCCUGAAGCCAGCCUCCAUCCCAGUGUUGGAUGGUCUGCAACUGUGACCGAGCCUCCUUCAGACCUCCAUCCAAAUGCUGCCCAGUCGCUGACUGAAGGCACAGAAGCCAUCCCUCUUCCCGAAGGCAUCCGCCAAGCACUGCAUGUGCUGCCUAAACACAGCAAGGAUUUUGUUGUUGGGUUUGGUUUUUUUCUUUUUCCUUCUCGCUGCCUAGAAAGCCAAAGGGCCUGUUUGCUUUCCUGUUACUCAUCAGGAGGGUUUAUCUGCGAUUGCUUGAGAGAGGGGAAAACGCCAUCGCCACAGGCAGGCAGGCUCAGUGAUCACGCGCGUAAUGGCUGGGGCCCGCGGGCCCAUAUGCUAGCCAUCCCAAGAGG